Molecule: ribosomal RNA, 310 nt
Filed under: uncultured bacterium
Lineage: Bacteria
Description: bacterial SSU rRNA
Rfam family: Bacterial small subunit ribosomal RNA
Source: RNAcentral
GACGAACGCUGGCGGCGUGCUUAACACAUGCAAGUCGAGCGGUAAGGCCCUUUCGGGGGUACGACGAGCGCGAAACGGGUGAGUAACACGUGGGUGACCUGCCCUCAGCUCUGGGAUAAGCCUGGGAAAACCGGGUCUAAUACCGGAUAUGACUCCAUGACGCAUGUUGUGGGGUGGAAAGCCUUGUGCGGCUGAGGAUGGGCCCGCGGCCUAUUAGCUUGUUGGUGGGGUGAUGGCCUACCAAGGCGACGACGGGUAGCCGGCCUGAGAGGGCGACCGGCCACACUGGGACUGAGACACGGCCCAGACU